This is a long non-coding RNA of Triplophysa dalaica, 2085 nucleotides long. RefSeq lists it as uncharacterized. The transcript is spliced from 2 exons. Lineage: Eukaryota; Metazoa; Chordata; Actinopteri; Cypriniformes; Nemacheilidae. The record is from RefSeq and is a predicted model, not a curated record.
CACCGGUCCACUUCCGGGUUGCGCAUUAUGUCACCAUAACAACGCUAAUGACGGAUUGACAUCUGGUGCGGAGAGUUUGAUGUUGGGAUCUGUGAGAGGAUUGUGGAGGCGGAGUAACCAUAUAAAAAGGAAGUACAGAGACCAUGAAGGGGGUGAUUCCUACUGGUUGUUCGUUCUCCCGGUUGUUCUUCCUGGUUGUCCAUUCUUCGGAUGUGUUCCCCUGAGAGAAGUGGAUUCCUUUGACGGUUGGGCUGGCGCGCGAAGGUAUCUGAAGAUUGUUGCGGGGUUCGGCUGUGCGACAGAUAUAACGGCCAUCGAGUGGAGAUAUUGAGGACGGAAAGAGAGUGAGUUAUGAGGACCAAGUGAAGACCAAGCCGCGCCAUCAUCAUCGGAGGGAAGAUAAGUAAUAUGGUCUUGGAAUUCGAUUGAAUGCAUGCACCUGCACUGAGACUGAUAUAAAGUUCUGAAGUGGAUUGAUCACGAGGGUUGUGUCACUGGAGAGUGCGUGGAUUAAGUGAUCAUUUGAACUCCUGUCUUCUCCUUCGAGUGUGGGCGAGAAGCGCUCUGUCCCGGGGUCAGUAAGGAGGCAUUCACGCUUCCUCGUUAUUUGGUGAGACCCGAUCCAGCCCGACAGUGGAAGGAGCAAGCGUUGGAUUGAAGGAUCCUCCUGGCCAAGCGCCGUAUGUGAUGUCGCUGUGAAGGGAGGUGGACAUCAGAAAUAUUCCUUUCCUCGUCUUGACCGAAGCAUCUCCCAGCCGUAAGCCUCAUCACUCAUUCGAAGAACAUAUACUUGUUGUUGACUACUUACUCUGUUGUGCAGAUCGAAGGAUCCUCCGGACCAAGUGUCGUAUGUGAAGUUGGCUGUAACGAGAGGUGGACAUUAAGAAAUAUUCCUUGCAUCGUCUGGACCAAAGCAUCUAUAAAUUCUACUUACCAGGAUACUCCCCCACUCAGUGGACGGGUGGCCGACUCCUCUUCUCCCUUACCGGCCACGUACAGGCACGAGCUGCCGAAGAGAACUCCACGCCCUCCCGGCGUCCGAGGUCCGAUCCCGUUCUGGUUGGGAGACACAGAAUUAGCACUGAGACUUUUAAUUGAUUUUAACUAAAUAAACCUUGUCAAACUUUUACUCUCUCGUCUGUCUGGUUUUCCUGGUACGCUCCUCGAGGUGGUCCUGGGUUUCAGGGGUGGGUGCAGUCUGGCUUGACCCCCCCGACCUGUGACAUUAAUUUAUAAAGUAAUGCAUUACUUUACUCGUUACUCCAGAAAAGUAAUAUUACGUAAUGCACGUUACUUGUAACGCGUUACCCCCAACACUGUUAAUGACCUUAAUCGUGUUGAGCAUAAAGGGAUUGGGCAACAUUUUAGGUGAUUAUUUUGGUUUUAUAUUUAUCACUUUCCUCUUUAGUGAGGUGGUUGGCUUUCAUAGCCCAGCAACACAAGGUCUCUCCCCCUUCACGAGGCAGCUCGUCUUGUGGCUGUUACAACGUUUCUGCUCUCUGUGAAGUGGCUGGCUCUAGAAGUUCAUUCAAUUAGAUUCUCAAGAGGUAUAAGCAUUUUAUGUAAAUGAUAAUGGUUACAAAGAUAUUGUUUUGAUGUAUGCAUGGACAUUUUAAAUAUUGAAUGUUGUCUAUUUGCAGACUCUGGCUAGAUUGUCGUAUCCGAGAGCCACUGUUUUCUUUCCCACUUUAUUUUCACUGUUUUUGUUUUGUUAGUUUCUUUUCUUUAUCAGUCCUGUGAGGUAGAACCUUACUUAUCAACGUAUAGUCACAUUGCGGGGAUCAUCCAGAGUAUUAAUUGUUUUAUAUUUCUUUUUCCACGUACAGAAGUUUUCUUUGCCUAGGUGGUUGAGUUUCUUAUUUGGUUGAUUAUUUCCUUUGAGUGCAUUUAAGUUUGCUCGGUUUUGUCGUGUUUAAAUUAGUUGUUCUGUACUGGGGUUAUUGGAUGUAUUUCUUUUACUUUUGGUCCCUUAUACAUGUUGACUGUUGAUGUAACCUCUAGUGGACUACAGUCGUGUCUAUUGCCUCUUAAAUGUUAGACCCUUUUUUCUAUUUAUAAUAAAUUGUGAAGAUUUAAAUAUUUCAA